UUCUCUGCACCAAAAUAACACCAGCAGGAAUCAACAAAUUGUAAAAUAUGCAGUGGUGAAUGUCAUUUGCCUCUACUCAUUGUUUCGUGUGAGCAUUCAAAGGUUAGAAUGUAAGAACCAAGUGCAACAGGAAAGUGAAAUACAUGUAAUCAACCAAGUCUAUUACUUUUUCUCUACUUGCAUUUUUGGAUUAAAAGGUAUAAAAAAUUAUAUUUGAAAACUUCUGUUUUAUUUCAUAUGUGAUAGUUGUCAAAUAUUGAUAUAUUUUUUAUCCUAUCUUUUACUUGUAUUUGGACAUUUAUAGUUUUUUUUCUUACAUUGUUAAAUAAACCAGGUAAUUGAACUUGUUAACGUCGGAAAGAGAGAGGCGAGGUCUUUAAUUAAUUUUAUACUAAUUGAAUAGUUAUAUAGCAAUCAUUUGUAUAAUUAGUACAUUUGUCAAGCAAUCGUCACUAUGGUCAUACAUGGAUACAUACACACAUAUGUAACGACUAACAAUCUUUAUUUAGGAUAUUAGAUAAGACACUAACUUAGCGUUUUUAAGCUUAGUUUCAGAGUAUCUUCACUGCAAAAAAUCCUCUUACCGAGUUUGGUUCCCUCCGCGAAAUUAUGCAUUAGAGAAUUUUGGAAGUUUUAAUGCAUAAUUUUUUUACUUAGCCAUUUUGAAGUUUGCUGAGCCAUUUUUCAAUCUCCUCAGUGCAGAUCAGAUUGGUUCAGCCAUAUUCAGCUUGGCUCAUUCAUUUUCACCCUGCACCAAAAUUCUCUUUGCAGCUUAUCCGCUCAGCGUACAGGAGCUGCAGCCUGCAAUUGGCUAGUGCCAAUUGAGUAUAACUAGCCCGAAGUUGUCUUCUUUUGGUAUUUUGAGACAGAACAAAGCUUAGAUCAGAGAGAUAAAAGGUUCUCUUACCACCUAAGACACAAGGAAUCAAGAGAUUCUUCUCUCUUCCCUCUUUCCUUGCUUCUCAUUCUCUUCAAGUUCUAGCAAUCAAUUUUCUCCUUAAGCUUCAUUGCUCAGGUAUUGGGCAUCCUGCAAAGACAAACAUGGUAAUGACAAGAAGGAGAGUUCAUCCACUUCAAAGGCUUUCUCACCCUGAAGUGGUGGACUGACAUAAAAGGAUUGUGUUUCAUGAAAGGUGACAUCCAUGGUGAUAAAGACGCGAUGACUCUGAGGAUGAUAACAUUUGUACCCUUUUUUAUUAGAAGGAUACCCAAUAAAGACACAUUUAAGAGCUCUGGGAUCUAAUUUACCACGGUUAAGAUGAUGAGAGUGAACAAAACCAACACAUCCAAAGACUCAACUAGGUUGACUCGUUAGUAGGGAAGAAGGAAUAAAAGACAAUAGAUACUCUAUAGGACUAAUGUCAUUUAAGAUAUGAGUGGGUAACUUGUUGAUGAGAUAUGUGGCAGUUAACACAGCUUCUCCCCAGUAAUUGUUUAAGUCUAACUCAAUUCCCAAAAACCGGUUUGUAUGGUGAGGUUUUCACCCCACUUAUAUAUUAUAAUUUGGCCUUAUCUCUAGUCAAUAGUUAUCCUUUUAAGAAGAUCUUUGUAUUGUUUUACGUUUUGUAAACUCGUGUAAAUAUGGAUUAGUUUUUAGUUUGUUUUGUAUGGUUGAUUUGAGAACCUAAAUGUACAACAAAUAUUAUGUUAUGUAAAUUAUUUACGUGAAUUUUAUUAUUCACAUUUAUUAUUAUUUAUUAUUUAUUUCA
This is a long non-coding RNA of Vigna umbellata (rice bean), 1709 nucleotides long. RefSeq lists it as uncharacterized. NCBI's taxonomy places the organism in Eukaryota, Viridiplantae, Streptophyta, Magnoliopsida, Fabales, Fabaceae. The record is from RefSeq and is a predicted model, not a curated record.